RNAcentral lists this ribosomal RNA (515 nucleotides) under Tetrahymena glochidiophila. RNAcentral describes it as "SSU rRNA". It matches the Rfam family "Bacterial small subunit ribosomal RNA", at positions 371 to 920 of the family's 1533-position model. Lineage: Eukaryota; Ciliophora; Oligohymenophorea; Hymenostomatida; Tetrahymenidae. The record is from RNAcentral.
AUAUGCGUAAGCAUGAUCCAGCGAACUGAUGGAAAUGAAGAAGGCGACUAUUGCUGUAAAGUUUAGUGCGGACCCUAACAAACUGAGUAGUGGUCAGGAGAAGCUCUGGCUAAUACAUGUGCCAGCAGCCGCGGUAAUACAUGAGGAGUAAGCGUUAUCUACAUUGACUGAGUGUAUUAAGUACGUAGGGGUUUAAAAUACUUUUAAAGUUACGAAGUUUUUUUGUAUACAACAUUUAAAAUAUUUUAUAAUUUAAUUUUUUAAAAGAUGACAAGAUUUAUAGAACAGCGAUUAAAUGCAGUUACACUAUAGAGCUUGCCGCAAGCGAAGGCAAUCAUCUUUAAAUUAUUGAACCUGAUGUACGAAAGUAUGGAGAUCGAGAAGGAGUAGUUGCCCUAGUAGUCCAUACUGUAAACGAUGAAUACUUUAUGACGAAAGUCAGGAAUAGCUAACGCAAAGUAUUCUACUUGGGGAGUAUUAUCGCAAGAUUGAAACUUAACUGAAUUGGCGGGAAU